GAUGAACGCUGACAGAAUGCUUAACACAUGCAAGUCGACCUGUGGCGGACGGGUGAGUAAUGCGUAAAGAACUUGCCUCACAGCUAGGGACAACAUUUGGAAACGACUGCUAAUACCUAAUACGGUGAGAGAGAUUUGCGUCACAUUAGCUAGUUGGAGAGGUAACGGCUCACCAAGGCGAUGAUGGGUAGCCGGCCGGAGAGGGUGCAAGGCCACAAGGGGACUGGGACACGGCCCUUACUGCUACGGGGGGCAGGAGUGAGGAAUAGUGGACAAUGUACCAAAGUCUGAUGCAGCUAUUCUGUUUGUACGAUGAAGUUGUCGGAAUGAAAAGUGCUUUCAGUUUAGAUGCGGUACCAACAGAAUAAGUGACGGCUAAAUACGUGCCAGCAGCCGCGGUAAUUC
This 405-nucleotide ribosomal RNA is filed under the name uncultured bacterium. Its description in RNAcentral is "partial 16S ribosomal RNA". It matches the Rfam family "Bacterial small subunit ribosomal RNA", at positions 28 to 526 of the family's 1533-position model. The record is from RNAcentral.